Molecule: long non-coding RNA, 3682 nt
Organism: Oncorhynchus keta (chum salmon)
Lineage: Eukaryota; Metazoa; Chordata; Actinopteri; Salmoniformes; Salmonidae
Exons: 2
Source: RefSeq, a predicted model, not a curated record
AUUCAAUCCAAUACUAUACAGACAGACAUAGGCUGAGAUUCAAUCCAAUACUACACAGACAGACAUAGGCUGGGAUUCAAUCCAAUACUAUACAGACAGACAUAUGCUGGGAUUCAAUCCAAUACUGUAUAGACACAUAGGCUGGGAUUCAAUCCAAUACUGUAUAGACACACAUAGGCUGGGAUUCAAUCCAAUACUGUAUAGACACACAUAGGCUGGGAUUCAAUCCAAUACUGUAUAGACACACAUAGGCUGGGAUUCAAUCCAAUACUGUAUAGACACACAGGCUGGGAUUCAGUCCAAUACUGUAUAGACACAUAGGCUGGGAUUCAAUCCAAUACUGUAUAGACACACAUAGGCUGGGAUUCAAUCCAAUACUGUAUAGACACACAGGCUGGGAUUCAGUCCAAUACUGUAUAGACACAUAGGCUGGGAUUCAAUCCAAUACUGUAUAGACACACAGGCUGGGAUUCAGUCCAAUACUGUAUAGACACAUAGGCUGGGAUUCAAUCCAAUACUGUAUAGACACACAGGCUGGGAUUCAGUCCAAUACUGUACAGACACACAGGCUGGGAUUCAAUCCAAUACUGUAUAGACACACAGGCUGGGAUUCAGUCCAAUACUGUAUAGACACACAGGCUGGGAUUCAGUCCAAUACUGUACAGACACACAGGCUGGGAUUCAAUCCAAUACUGUAUAGACACACAGGCUGGGAUUCAGUCCAAUACUGUAUAGACACACAGGCUGGGAUUCAAUCCAAUACUGUAUAGACACACAGGCUGGGAUUCAGUCCAAUACUGUAUAGACACAUAGGCUGGGAUUCAAUCCAAUACUGUAUAGACACAUAGGCUGGGAUUCAAUCCAAUACUGUAUAGACACACAUAGGCUGGGAUUCAAUCCAAUACUGUAUAGACACAUAGGCUGGGAUUCAAUCCAAUACUGUAUAGACACACAGGCUGGGAUUCAAUCCAAUACUGUAUAGACACACAUAGGCUGAGAUUCAGUCCAAUACUGUAUAGACACACACAGGCUGAGAUUCAAUCCAAUACUGUAUAGACACACACAGGCUGGGAUUCAAUCCAGUACUGUAUAGACACACAGGCUGGGAUUCAAUCCAAUACUGUAUAGACACACAUAGGCUGAGAUUCAGUCCAAUACUGUAUAGACACACAUAGGCUGGGAUUCAAUCCAAUACUGUAUAGACACACACAGGCUGGGAUUCAGUCCAAUACUGUAUAGACACACAGGCUGGGAUUCAAUCCAAUACUGUAUAGACACACACAGGCUGGGAUUCAAUCCAAUACUGUAUAGACACACAUAUGCUGAGAUUCAAUCCAAUACUGUAUAGACACACACAGGCUGAGAUUCAAUCCAAUACUGUAUAGACACACAUAGGCUGAGAUUCAAUCCAAUACUGUAUAGACACACAUAGGCUGGGAUUCAGUCCAAUACUGUAUAGACACACAGGCUGAGAUUCAAUCCAAUACUGUAUAGACACACAUAGGCUGGGAUUCAGUCCAAUACUGUAUAGACACACAGGCUGGGAUUCAAUCCAAUACUGUAUAGACACACAUAUGCUGAGAUUCAAUCCAAUACUGUAUAGACACACAGGCUGGGAUUCAGUCCAAUACUGUACAGACACACAGGCUGGGAUUCAAUCCAAUACUGUAUAGACACACACAGGCUGGGAUUCAAUCCAGUACUGUAUAGACACACAGGCUGGGAUUCAAUCCAAUACUGUAUAGACACACAUAGGCUGAGAUUCAGUCCAAUACUGUAUAGACACACACAGGCUGAGAUUCAAUCCAAUACUGUAUAGACACACACAGGCUGGGAUUCAAUCCAAUACUGUAUAGACAGACAGGCUGGGAUUCGUAAGGUCGCUAGUUCAACUCCAGGAGCAGACAAGGUGAAACAUUUGUCUGUGUGCCCUUGAGCAAGGCACUUCACCUCAAUGGCUUCAGGGAUGUCAUUGAUCAUGUCUGACCCUGUCUAAAGAUCCCAGCUCUCUGUGGGUGUUGAUAAUGUCUGACCCUGUCUAAAGACUCCAGCUCUCUGUGGGUGUUGAUAAUGUCUGACCCUGUCUAAAGACCCAGCUCUCUGUGGGUGUUGAUAAUGUCUGACCCUGUCUAAAGACUCCAGCUCUCUGUGGGUGUUGAUAAUGUCUGACCCUGUCUAAAGACUCCAGCUCUCUGUGGGUGUUGAUAAUGUCUGACCCUGUCUAAAGACCCCAGCUCUCUGUGGGUGUUGAUAAUGUCUGACCCUGUCUAAAGACCCCAGCUCUCUGUGGGUAUUGAUAAUGUCUGACCCUGUCUAAAGACUCCAGCUCUCUGUGGGUGUUGAUAAUGUUUGACCCUGUCUAAAGACCCCAGCUCUCUGUGGGCAUUGAUAAUGUCUGACCCUGUCUAAAGACCCCAGCUCUCUGUGGGUGUUGAUAAUGUCUGACCCUGUCUAAAGACCCCAGCUCUCUGUGGGUGUUGAUAAUGUCUGACCCUGUCUAAAGACCCCAGCUCUCUGUGGGUGUUGAUAAUGUCUGACCCUGUCUAAAGACCCCAGCUCUCUGUGGGUGUUGAUAAUGUCUGACCCUGUCUAAAGACCCCAGCUCUCUGUGGGUGUUGAUAAUGUCUGACCCUGUCUAAAGACCCCAGCUCUCUGUGGGUGUUGAUAAUGUCUGACCCUGUCUAAAGACUCCAGCUCUCUGUGGGUGUUGAUAAUGUCUGACCCUGUCUAAAGACCCCAGCUCUCUGUGGGUGUUGAUAAUGUCUGACCCUGUCUAAAGACCCCAGCUCUCUGUGGGUGUUGAUAAUGUCUGACCCUGUCUAAAGACUCCAGCUCUCUGUGGGCAUUGAUAAUGUCUGACCCUGUCUAAAGACCCCAGCUCUCUGUGGGUGUUGAUAAUGUCUGACCCUGUCUAAAGACCCCAGCUCUCUGUGGGUGUUGAUAAUGUCUGACCCUGUCUAAAGACCCCAGCUCUCUGUGGGCAUUGAUAAUGUCUGACCCUGUCUAAAGACCCCAGCUCUCUGUGGGUGUUGAUAAUGUCUGACCCUGUCUAAAGACUCCAGCUCUCUGUGGGUGUUGAUAAUGUCUGACCCUGUCUAAAGACCCCAGCUCUCUGUGGGUGUUGAUCAUGUCUGACCCUGUCUAAAGACCCCAGCUCUCUGUGGGUGUUGAUAAUGUCUGACCCUGUCUAAAGACCCCAGCUCUCUGUGGUGUUGAUAAUGUCUGACCCUGUCUAAAGACCCCAGCUCUCUGUGGGUGUUGAUAAUGUCUGACCCUGUCUAAAGACCCCAGCUCUCUGUGGGUGUUGAUAAUGUCUGACCCUGUCUAAAGACCCCAGCUCUCUGUGGGUGUUGAUAAUGUCUGACCCUGUCUAAAGACCCCAGCUCUCUGUGGGUGUUGAUAAUGUCUGACCCUGUCUAAAGACCCCAGCUCUCUGUGGGUGUUGAUAAUGUCUGACCCUGUCUAAAGACCCCAGCUCUCUGUGGGUGUUGAUAAUGUCUGACCCUAUCUAAAGACCCCAGCUCUCUGUGGGUGUUGAUAAUGUCUGACCCUGUCUAAAGACCCCAGCUCUCUGUGGGUGUUGAUAAUGUCUGACCCUGUCUAAAGACCCCAGCUCUCUGUGGGUGUUGAUAAUGUCUGACCCUGUCUAAAGACCCCAGCUCUCUGUGGGUGUUGAUAAUGU